AACAUAGAUAGUGGUGCGAGUCUUGAAGAGACUUGAAGGCCAAAGAUCUCCUGAUGCUAAGUGUGCUCAUGUUGAAAACAAAUCCUCUGUUUUGACUAUGUCUCUUUAGGAUUUGGCCGCAAAUCUGAAGGUGUUCUGUACGUUUAUCAUCUUGAAUUUUGAAGCUUCUGCUCAGCAAAAAGCUGAUUGAUACAGUCACUGAGUUUUCUGGAUAUCAGCAUAUUUCUACUUCCCCUUUCCUCUUCAAGAAGUGAAAAGCAGUACCAUUCUCAGAACAACUUCUGACCCGAGGCUGUGUGGUUGGAACCAACCUCAACUCUUCUAGAAGUAAAUAAGAGGCUUCCAGAGGAUUCAUGGAGAAGUGGUGCUGCAGAUGAUAAAAUGACAUAAAAAAAAAAAAACAAACAACAUCUCUUCAG
RNAcentral lists this long non-coding RNA (419 nucleotides) under Phasianus colchicus (ring-necked pheasant). RNAcentral's name for it is "lncRNA (ENSPCLG00000003953.1)". The record is from RNAcentral. Lineage: Eukaryota; Metazoa; Chordata; Aves; Galliformes; Phasianidae.